Molecule: long non-coding RNA, 6110 nt
Organism: Bombyx mori (domestic silkworm)
Lineage: Eukaryota; Metazoa; Arthropoda; Insecta; Lepidoptera; Bombycidae
Exons: 3
Source: RefSeq, a predicted model, not a curated record
AGAUGUAUGUGAUGCAAUUCGAAUUUGGGUUUUUAGUCAAAGUUGAUGUACUGCAUAGACUUGAACUAGGUUCACGUAUACAAUACUAUAGUGUUCCUAGAAAGAGGAGCUUCAUUGAGGUACCCCCGCGUAGCGGUGCACUGCUGCCCCCCUCACCCCGCCCCCACAGCCCCGCUGCGCGGCCAUACUGAAGUGAGCCGAUGCACUUCCGUAGUCCUCUAUACAUCGUAGACGGCGGAGCCGCGAUGCGCGCCGUGCGCCCUGUUCCAUAUUUAAUACCUGGCACCCGGGUAACCUUGAAUCGAUAUUUUACCAGUAAUCAGUGAUUGUAAUCGAAAACGUUAGAACUGUACAGCUGGCGCUCGGGACUAUCGCGUGGUGCCUCAACAAAGAACACGAGCGGCGUUACGUCAUCAGCGGGCGGCAGCGUGACCCACAAACCGAAGGAGGCUCAUUUACCGCACGAAACUGUAGUCCCACGGGGAUGAUCGCCGGAAACGAUGCGGCGGCAACAUCUGAAACACACGAAGCGCAUCCUUCGCAAGGCAUGAAAUUCUUUCGCCACUGGCUAUCGCAAGCUCACAAUCGAUUAGCAAAGCACAAAAUUCAAUGGACACUCAACUUGUGCACGCCGAACUGCUUCAAUUGGCGUCUUCUUGUUUCUAAUCCGGCCCGAUGUUCUUCUCAACCCAGAAUCUUCGAUUCAUUCACACACUUUUAUUUUUAAUAAGACCGACAACUUUCUCCACGAAUCGGAGACUCGAUCGAUCGACACAGAGUGCAACCAGCGUACGCGAACUCACCCCUACCUAGACGUAUCUAGGUCGCCGCAUCGUAGUAAAUAUUGCACGUACGCGCCGCGGUGAAUGCAUGCGUUAUAUUGAAUGCGGCAUUUUAUCGUACCUGGUGAGGCGGAAGCGCGUUGCGGUGUGCCGAGCGGAGCGGUGGAGGUCGGGCCGCCUCAUCCGUCGCGCGAUUAACUGCAGUACAUCGCCCGGCCGCGGACGCCGCUUCGGAUCGAUACGAUCGCGAUCUCGCGGCACAUGGGGCGCGAACGAGCUACGAGCUACGGGCGGUGCGAGCGCGACCGCGGCACUCGCGCGUUUAAGCUUCUCAACUUGCACGGUCGAUGCGGGAAUCCGCGCGCACCAACGACCCUACUUUGGGCGCAAGGAGCACCCGAUCGAUAUCGUGGGGCUUGCGCUGCGUCUAUACAGUACGCUACUCAUUAUUUGUACGACUACAUACGAAGCGGAAGGUGACGGCAGCGCCCGCGCCGCCCGUCCUACUAUACCGUCUCGAUACUCACGCGACUUGAUCUACGAGUACAUUGAUUGGUCCCGCACGCCGGCGCAACACUCGCGUUUAGUCGAUGUGCUUGCAGUCAUUUAAAUUCAUAACGUGAAAAUUUUAUGAAGCGAAUCGCAAUGAUCCAAUCGCAAAUCACGUUACACACAUAAAAGAGAUGAACGAAUAUGUUCUUGCUUAAGUCACUUUUUUUUUAUUGCUUAGUUAUGUGGACCAGCUCGCGGCCCAUUUGGUGUUAAGUGGUUACCGGUGUCCAUAUACAUCUACAACGUAAAUGCCGCCACCCACCUUGAGAUUUAAAAAUCUAAGGGUUCAGUUUUCAUAGAACAACGGCUUAGUUAGGCGCUUUAUGCCACAAUAGUAUUUGUAUUUACAUUUAUCUCGACUUUACAGAGAAAACGAUAAGGGCAAAUCGACAAGAUUUGGAUUUUUUAAAUUUAAUACUUAAAAUCGUAAUUGCUUCUAACAAUUUUUUUAUUGCCUUUGUAGGCAGACGACCAUACGGCCCACCUGAUGGUAAGUAGUCACCGUCGCUCAUGGACGUCAGCAAUCCCAGGGGUAGAGUCUAGCCGCUGCCUGCAAUAAAAAUAUAAUUUAUUAUAUGACAAGACUUCUACAAAACAGAAUUAAAAAAAUUACUUUAGGAGGUUCAAAAGUACAUAGAAUUUUUUUCGAAAUUACUGACUAACAUUAAAGUCUGGUAUGCGGGUGUGAAAUAGAACUAAAAAAGUACUUAGUCUAAUCUUAACUAAGUAUUACAGUCGAUUCGUUUGCAUGAAGUAGUCAAAACGCGAUACGCUGCGGUCGGAAAAUCAACACAGUUUUAAAGUUUGUCGAAUGCGAAGGAAUACAAAGCGAGCAAAGGUUGUGGAGUACGCGGUAUCGAUCGGGUCGCGCGGAAACAUGAUGUAUUAUUAAGGGACAGGCGACGAGAGAACGCAGAUUCGUAUGUGGCUCAUGACGUGCAGAGAGAGCGUAUACGUCUAAAUUAUUUAAAUUUUUAUUACAUAUAUGGGUGGACGAGCUCACAGCCCACCUGGUAUUAAGUGGUUACUGGAGCCCAUAGACAUCUACAACGUAAAUGCGCCACUCACCUUGAGAUAUAAGUUCUAAGGUCUCAAGUAUAGUUACAACGGCUGCCCCACCCUUCAAACCGAAACGCGUUGCUGCUUCACGGCUGAAAUAGGCAGGGUGGUGGUAUAAUGAUCAUGAUAGCUACUGAAUAUUUGAACAGAAGUGGCCGACGAAUUAACUGAAAUCUGCCUACGGCGGAUGCAGUGCACGAUUAGUGUCCCAAGCAAUUAUUACUAGCGGAUUGGACGAUUUAAAACCAUUACCGUACAUAGAUGAGAAAAUAAUAAAUUUGGUGUCGCUGGAGGUACGUUUUACGAGCGGUACAUGUCGGGGAAUUGAGCACCGCAUUAAGGACCGCGUUCAUACGAAACCGUAAUGUAAUUUAAUUUAUUUAUUCGAACCUCUAUUUAUUGACUUGUAAUCUACAAGAGUGGCCCUUCGUUAUUUUCUGUCUUGACGUUAAGUGCCUUUUCAUUUCUUUUUAAUGCGUAAGAGGGCUCGAUGUCAGUCACACAACACACACAACGAAUAAAUAAAACACAAUUGGUAUUCAACCGGUUUAUAGAAAUCGAAGUGCCGUCGAUUUCACUGAUCCGAUUAAAAAUUGCUUUGUUUGUAUUUCAUUAGUGAAACUCUCUCUGUUACUUUCUAUGGAGGUAUUUAGCCCUACUGUACCACGCUGGCUAGACGGGUUGGUACAGGGUUUAAUUUCGAGUUUUUCUUCUCUUGCACUGAUGUCUUGUGCAUAUUCUCUUAGUCGGUUCUUACGACUCCCUGGGAUAGUAUAGGGGUGGUGACACAUUGUAUUCUUAUAGGUAGCAACGGACCGGCCGCUCUGGAGAUCAAUUGGAGAGGCCUAUGUUCAGCAGUGGACAGUGGACAGGCUGAGAUGAUGAUGAUGAUGAGUGAAACUCAGUUAUGUGCUUAAUUCCGUGAGCAAUACUCGGGACGUAAUGACGGUAGCACGAGUAUGAUACCUCGAGGUCACUUAAAUAGGUAUAAAAAAAGACCACUCACAUUCCACUCACAUUGAACUGGAUCCUCAUGUAAUCCUCUCCAGUAGCUGGGCACCCCUGUAAUAUUUUUCUAGUUCUUACUAACAACUGAACCAAAUAUAGUACUGAAGUUUUAGAUUAGAUUGCAUUACUGCUUCACGGCAAAAAUAGGCAGGGCGGUGAUACCCACCCACGCGGACUCACAAGAGAUCCUACCACCAGUAAUUACGCAAAUUAUAAUUUCGCGGGUUUGAUUUUUACUACACGAUUUUAUUCCUUCACCGUGGAAGUCAAUCGUGAACAUUUGUUGAGUACGCAUUUCAUUAGAAAAAUUGGUACCCGCCUAAGAUUUGAACACCGGUACAUCGAUCAACACAAAUGCACCGGACGUCUUAUCCGUUAGGCCACGACGACUUCAUUGUAGUACAAUAAUUUUGCAAUGCAAUAUUCAUGUUUUUUUUUUCUUUUUCAAGGUGAGCCGAUACCGGAUUUUGAUCGAAACGAGGCCGUCCAACAUCGAGUUCUAUAUAAUUUAGGGACUGUAAUGAUGUAGUGAUUAAGCCAACAUUUGUGCGUAGCUGUGCGAAACUUAUUUCAGCUCUGCAUUCGCGUCGACCGUGUGUACUGGCGCGUGACACUUCACGCAGCGACGACGAUCAUCUUGUGACGGCAAACGGUGAUGUAUUACUAUAAAAAGAGUAUCAUUUUCGUACAUUCAUUAAUGUACAGGCUCUACGUGAAGGUAUAUUUUAUAUAUUACUAUUUAUAAGCUGAUUUUGGACUAUGCGAGUCGAUACGUGUGUUAAAAACCCUUCGCUUUUUGCCUAAGCGUAGGAUGCUCGCCGAUAUAGAACUGUGGUAAGUUCAAAGAAACGAACAUAUGAGAUUCUGUUUCGACUUCUCAUCUGCGUUUAAAAAAAAUAGAAAUCCUCCGAAUGACAUUGUCAAAAGUAAUGUUUGUAAAAUUUGAAACUUACCGGUUUGAUGAUAAGGCGUGUUAUCAAAUCACCGUAUACUUAGCAUAGCUUUUAGGGCGCUUCGAUUGAAGUGCGAAUAAUUCAACUGCUGCAUAGACGUAAAGGUAUGUCAGCUAGAUUAAGUACAGACCCUGAAUUGGAUUAUAUUACAGCAAUUCCCUAUAAUAAACCGUUUGUCGAAAACUCCCGCUGAAAUUCGGGGUUUAAAAUUAUUAUUAACUGCCGAUGAUAUAAAGGCCCAGAGACUGUUUUUUUUUUCGUUGGAAAACAAUCAUACAUUACGGUUUGAAGUUCAAUUGAGAAUUCGACCGCGUGUUUUCAAGGUGAUCUUCGACGUUUGUGUUGUGAUGCUAACGGGUUCCGGUGACGGCUUAAUAUUAGGUUAGUGAUAAUCUCCCUAAUCAUUCCAUUAUGAAAGGGCAGCUUCUAAUCCGCAAUCUUCAGUUUCAGCCCAUCGAUUUUCAUUAAGCAUCGGUCCAUGUCAAAAUUCUGUCUUUUCCUGACGUAGAACACCGCUUCAGGAAUUGGAGUGGAUCUUGGUACCGCACGUGCCAUGGAAAGUGCUCUGAGGAAUUGUUCGAGAUGAUCCUGUCACCAUUUUUAACAUCGGCAUCACUCAUUACAUAUGUCACACCCAAGAACGUUAUUGUGAAAAUCACAAGAAAAUAAUGGAAAUGGAUAAAACUUUGUGCAUCAAGGGGUUAUGUAAUGAAGACAAACACAAAACAUCGUUCGUGGAAGCAUUACAUCCCUAUGAGAUUCAUAGGAUAAUAUUUCACCUGUCGUCAAUACGUACAGGGCACACGAUGAUUUACUAGCGCAAUGUAGUUGUGUAGCGUUUCGUGUAUUUUGUGAAAACAUGUUUGUAGCGUUAUUUUGUAUCGGUUUUCAAUGUACGAUAAUUGAAGAGGUAUUUUUGAAACGUCGUAUUGAAUUCAAUUUCAAUUGAUUACAUUUGAUUUUAAUUGGAUUCAUGCGUGUUUCUAAUUGCGUCCCUGACUCCCUUGUCGUGUUAGGUAGGGGUAAUUUAUUUAUAUUUGUUUUAUUCCACAGCAUGCUGAUCAACCUGAUUGACUGACCACAAUAUGAUGAUGUGCCACUCUUCGAAAUUGAUCUCCGUGGUGGCGGCGUGCGUAACACGUAACAUAGAUGAAGGAUUCGAAUUUAAUUUCGACUUCUACUAAACUUCGAGGAAUAUUGGCUCAAGUCAGCUUGGAAAUAGCAAUGAUGAAACAACGUAAAGAAACGCCAUAAGAACAUGCAGUUUUUCCAACCAAAGCCAACGCUUCUCAGUAGUGAGAUUGCGCUCCGAUUUGACGGUGAAGUCAUGAUUAAUGACUGAAGUCAAUGGCUACUUGAAGAGAAAGAAAUACGAAGUCGUCUUGGCCUGAAGAAUAUUUUUUUGUAUAUUUUUUUUUUGAAGAACAAUUUUUGUUGUUUCAUUGAUUGAAUUAUCAAUAUUUAAUCCGCCUUACCAAUUGCAGUUGGGCUUGUUUGAACUAAACGAUUCGAAACGACGAAAAACGAUUUCUUGGCCGACAGAUAUUGCAUUAAAAUUUUCUGUGUAUAAAGCCAGUUCCACGUCGUUUGUCUUGUGUUGCUGCUGUAUAUUAAUUUGUACAUGGAACAGUCAAUCAUUAUUUAAAAAAAAAGAUAUUGUAACACAUGGAACAGUGAAUCACUAUUAAAAUGAAAAAAAGAAAAACUUAUUGUAACCACAGUAUUUUUUUGGUAAAAUAAAUAAGUUGUACAAAAA